This 537-nucleotide long non-coding RNA is filed under the name Phoenix dactylifera (date palm). Its description in RNAcentral is "long non-coding RNA (PDAC_LNC018559)". Lineage: Eukaryota; Viridiplantae; Streptophyta; Magnoliopsida; Arecales; Arecaceae. The record is from RNAcentral.
UCUUUAGCCCAUUGGCUCCUCAUCAGUCAAAGAGUUGUGUCUCUUUAAGGUUGGUUCCUCUCCUUGCUCCCAUUUAGGUGCAUCCAUGGUCUUAUGAGUUCCUAUGUUCUAUUUGUCUAGAUUCGGGGCUAGCAGAAUUCACUAAACAGAUUCUUAGGCUGCAUGGACUUCCCUGGCCCUUUCAAUUUCAUACAUUCUAUCAGAUUGGUAAGGAAGGUGGUGCAACAGGUUUUCCACAAGACUAGUAAUGCAUAGCUUCCGAUGAUGAUUUGAGGCAUGUCAGAUGCUUUUCACCCGGUUGGUUUAUAUUAAUUUUGGCCUGUUAUACUGGUGAUUAUGCACUGCCUGGAUCAAUGAAUAUCAUUCGCUAGAUUGAUUCAUGGAAUGAGCUGAUUGCUGAGGCUUGCAACUUCUGCUAGAAUAAAUGCUCUGCAUAACUCCUUGCAGGGCCUAUACAUUCUAAAAGCUGGCUCUCUGUACAUGCUUCUUUUACUCAUCAUAUCCUUUUGAGUUCCUCCAGUUCCAAUAUACACACAC